AGAUUGAACGCUGGCGGCAGGCCUAACACAUGCAAGUCGAGCGGUAGAGAGGUGCUUGCACCUCUUGAGAGCGGCGGACGGGUGAGUAAUGCCUAGGAAUCUGCCUAGUGGUGGGGGAUAACGUUCGGAAACGGACGCUAAUACCGCAUACGUCCUACGGGAGAAAGCGGGGGACCUUCGGGCCUCGCGCCAUUAGAUGAGCCUAGGUCGGAUUAGCUAGUUGGUGAGGUAAUGGCUCACCAAGGCGACGAUCCGUAACUGGUCUGAGAGGAUGAUCAGUCACACUGGAACUGAGACACGGUCCAGACUCCUACGGGAGCAGCAGUGGGAAUAUUGGACAAUGGGCGAAAGCCUGAUCCAGCCAUGCCGCGUGCGUGAAGAAGGUCUUCGGAUUGUAAAGCACUUUAAGUGGAGAAGGUUGUAACUUAAUACGUUGCAACUUUGACGUUACCGACAGAAUAAGCACCGGCUAACUUCGUGCCAGCAGCCGCGGUAA
Molecule: ribosomal RNA, 496 nt
Filed under: uncultured soil bacterium
Lineage: Bacteria
Description: bacterial SSU rRNA
Rfam family: Bacterial small subunit ribosomal RNA
Source: RNAcentral